RNAcentral lists this ribosomal RNA (463 nucleotides) under uncultured bacterium. Its description in RNAcentral is "partial 16S ribosomal RNA". It matches the Rfam family "Bacterial small subunit ribosomal RNA", at positions 28 to 507 of the family's 1533-position model. The record is from RNAcentral.
GACGAACGCUGGCGGCGUGCUUAACACAUGCAAGUCGAACGGAAAGGCCUUUUCGGAGGUACUCGAGUGGCGAACGGGUGAGUAACACGUGGGUGAUCUGCCCUGCACUCUGGGAUAAGCCUGGGAAACUGGGUCUAAUACCGGAUAGGACCGCACUUUAGUGUGUGUGGUGGAAAGUUUUUUCGGUGUAGGGUGAGCCCGCGGCCUAUCAUCUUGUUGGUGGGGUAAUGGCCUACCAAGGCGGCGACGGGUAGCCGGACUGAGAGAGUGGUCAGCCACAUAGGGACUGAGAGAAGGCCCAAACGCCGACGGGAGGAAGAAGGGGGGAAGAUUGAAGAAGGGGCGCAAGCCGGAUGAAGAGAAGCCGCGUGGGGGAAGACGGCGUUCGGGUUGAAAAAUAAAUUCGCAAGGGACGAAGCGUUUUGUGGCGGUACCUGGAGAAGAAGCACCGGCUAACUACGUG